Molecule: small RNA, 82 nt
Filed under: Marmota monax (woodchuck)
Lineage: Eukaryota; Metazoa; Chordata; Mammalia; Rodentia; Sciuridae
Source: RNAcentral
GCCGGGCACAGUGGUGCAUGCCUGUAAUCCCAGCAGCUUGGAGGCUGAGGCAGGAGGAUUGGGAGUUCAAAGCCAGCCUCAG